GACGAACGCUGGCGGCGUGCUUAACACAUGCAAGUCGAACGGAAAGGCCCUGCUUUUGUGCGGUCCUCGAGUGGCCAACGGGUGAGUAACACGUGAGUAACCUGCCCUUGACUUUGGGAUAACUUCAGGAAACUGGGGCUAAUACCGGAUAGGAGCUCCUGCUGCAUGGUGGGGGUGCGAAAGUUUCGGCGGUUGGGGAUGGACUCGCGGCCUAUCAGCUUGUUGGGGGGGUAGUGGCUUACCAAGGCCUUGACGGGUAGCCGGCCUGGGAGGGUGACCGGACACAUUGGGAGGGGGAUGAGGCACGGACUCCUACGGGAGGGAGGAGUGGGGAAGGUUGCACAAUGGGAGGAAGGCGGAUGCAGCAAGGCAGCGUGGGGGAUGACGGGCUGGGGGUUGUAAAGCGCUGUCGCCUGUGACGAAGCGUGAGUGACGGUAAUGGGUAAAGAAGCACCGGCUAACUACGUG
Molecule: ribosomal RNA, 468 nt
Filed under: uncultured bacterium
Lineage: Bacteria
Description: partial 16S ribosomal RNA
Rfam family: Bacterial small subunit ribosomal RNA
Source: RNAcentral